GAAACGGAGCAGCUCUGUUGCCUAGAGGCAGUGCCCCGGGACCACCAGGCCACCACUGGUCUCCAGGACUGUCAGCAAUACCCAGCCCUAGGCACAGCCCCUGCCCUCUAAAUAAAUGGCCUUAUUGACCAGAGCACAUUCCCUCUGGCUGGUCCUGCCGGUGCUUCCCAAGGGGAUUUGGGAGAAGACUUUCUCGCAGAGUCCACGACGCAGAGGCCUGGACACCCAGCCCGGUGUUUCCACACACACUCAAACCUGGUCGCCUCACUUCCGAGGUCUGCCAGCAGUGUGCCAAGGUCGUGGGUUGGGAUGGGUUUGCAGGCCCAGGGAUAAAGUUGCCCUCUCUAGGCUCACUGGCGGGUGGCUCUUGGUUUGGGGCUGUACACUGCCCGUCUCUCUCCUGAAAGCAUCCCAGUUUCAUGAGUGGAAAUUGCCCCUCCCUGGCUGUCUUGGGGCAGGGGCACUUCUUGGCUCCUUCCUCCCACCACCGGCCUCCCCCCGCUGAAGUCAGAGAGGUCAGAUCCCUCCUCUCCUCACCUGGCUGCGUCAGUGGGGCGUCAGACGCUCUCCGCCGUGGCCUUCCAUUCUGCCAGAGCCAGUUCUCUUCGUGGCAAUAGCCGUUGUGUGUCACUGAUGCCGUCCUGACCUCUGUCCCGGUCAAAGGAGGUGGCCGGUGUUCCUCCUUCCUGCGUCUUGACCCACAGCGUUUCCUUGAUUCCUGCUGACCUAAGCCUGCGCUUCUGGUCUUUCAUCAGUUGUGUUAGCUCCCAGUGGCCUCCAAAAGAAAAAAAAGUCCCCUGCUGUCUCACUUCUGGUGCUCACACCGUGAAUACCGGGGGGGGAUGUCACCCCCAAGAACGGAGGUUCACGCUUUCACUCCUGACUCACCCCCGUUUGCUCCUGAGGACAGUCUGGGUGCCCCCCCCGCCCCGCCCCAGCAAAUCCCACUUACCCUAACCCUUCCCCGAUAAGGCGAACACAAAGGCGCGUGCUCCCCAGAUGUGGUCAGUGUUGGCGCGGGUGGUGAGACGGCUGGAGGCUCCGUUUCCCUCGAAAGCUCGCACUUGUCCCGUAGAAGAAUUUUCCCGUUUCCAUACGCUCCACUGGGUCGAUGAGAAGCAGCAGCGUCUCUCUGUGUUUGUUCAAGGGCGGUGAGACAAACUGAAACAAUAACGCUCUUUUUGGUGCUGAAGGCGGCAGCCCCGUCCCCGAGCGGGUGUCCUUGAGAAGGGGACUCUCGGUGUGUGGCACCGCCCGCUGGCUGUUAUCGCCCGCCUCCUGGGUGGAUUUAUUGACAGAGCCAAGGGCAGAUCUCCCAGGCUUUGUGGCAGGCAUGUCUCAGGACACGUCCUCAGCCUCCUGUGCCCCAGGUCCCCCCACGCGCACCAGGAGGGAAACGGCACCGAACGACGCUAGGAGUUCUGCUGCUCGGUUCUGGGGCCUCUUGGAAGGUCAUUGCCUGGUGGGAGCCACACCCAGGAGAGAGCCCGGCGUCCCACUGUCUGGGUGGGAAGCGUUUAGUUGUGUCCCGGUGGACGGCACUUUUUGAGUUGCACACAGCAAAGCCCACCCCAAGCCGGCUUAAGCAAAAAGGGAAUUGAUUGCAAUCUGGUUGAUUUACAGUGUUACAGUAGUUUCAGGCGUACCACGAAGCGCUUCGAUGUUUUUGUCAAUUACACUCCAUCUAAAGGUUUUACAAGAUAAUGGUUAUAUUCCCUGUGAUGCACAAACAAGGGAAUGUAUUGACUCGUCUAACAGAAACACUGGCAUCUAAAUUCAGGCUUAGCUGGAUGCAGGGGCUAAGGAAGUGUUGUCAGGAUUCGGUCUCUCUCAGUCUCUUCUUCCGCCUCCUUUGCCUGCUUCAUCCUCAGGCACGCUUUUCCCACGCAAGACAAGCUGGGUGCCAGCAGCGCCAGGCUUGCAUCCUACCAGCUUAGCACUUCUUCCCAAGGGUUCCGGCGCGAGUCCAGGGCUGACUCUCCCUGGAGGGCCAAGUGACAUGCCCAUUGCUGGAACCACCCGCUCUCGGGAGCCAAGCUGCAGCCUCUGCUGAUCAGCCAGACUUGGUCCUGUUCUCGCUCCUGGAGUUGGGGGGCAGGGGGAGCCUCACUUCCACCUAUGACCCAAGAUGCAAGGCAGGGUGGCUCACUAAAGACAGGUCAGGAGCUGUGACCAGAGUGGGGAAAGACGCCGGGAGCGAAAAGACCCGCAGGCCCCACGCGGGUUCAUCUGGAUGGGUGGUUACCCAAGAGCGUGGCCCAGACUCGCAGCAUCCACCUCCCGUGGAAACUUGGGAGGAAGGCAGGUCCGUGGGCCCCACUGCAGACCCGCCUCAUGGAAGCGGUCUCCCCAGGUGAUCCAGAUGCAUGUUAAAGUUUGAAAACCACGCGUGCAGACCGGGGGGCUGGCCACCCUGACUUCAGUUAGAAUCACCAGGGGAGCUUCUAAGCUGCCUGGACCCCACUCCCAACCAACCGGAUCAUGACAAGGAGUACGGGGGGUGGGCUCCAGUCAGCGGUGCUUUUGACAUGUUCCACCAAGUGGUUCCAAUGGGGCCAAGCGCGACAGGGGCCCUGAGCUCAAAGGAACACUUGUUCUCGGUACUAUUUGUGCAGUGGACAUGAACGAGGGUGUGGACUGUCCCUCUGCUGCGGAUGGUGGCUUAGUAAAGGAGUGACUUGAGAGGUGGCACCUGCAGCCAAGCCAACGGAAACAACAAGGUGGGGGAUGGGAAUUCCCAUCGAGGCUCAGUGGCAACGAACCUGACUAGUAACCAUGAGGACACAGGUUCCAUCCCUGACCUCGCUCAGCAGGUUGAGGAUCCAGCGUUGCCGUGAGCUAUGGGGUAGGUCCCAGAUAUGGCUCAGAUCCCGCAUUGCUGUGGCUGUGGUGUAGGCUGGCAGCUACAGCUCUGAUUUGACCCCUAGCCUGGGACGCUCCAUGUGCCGCAGGAGCAGCACUAAAAAGCAAAAUACAUAAAUAAAUAUUCUAAAAAAAAAAAAAACCAAAACCCAAAACAAAGUGAGGGAUGCAGGAGCCACUCAGCUGCGUGGAGUCUGAACUGGGAGUUCCCUGUGCUGUGAUAAAUGCGUCUUUACACCCUCAUGGCUGAUUCAUUACAGAGGAGGAGCAUGGGAGGGGGAAUCAGAGGCACGGUUUAGUGAGUGCGUCCUGAAUUUGCUGACUUAAAUCUGACCUAGCCCCGUGCAGGAAGUGCUACUAACCCUAGCUGUAAUUCUGGGAGGCAGGUAACAUUACCCCUCCAGGGAGGAGAGCCUUGGGGUCAAAGAGAGCUCAGUGGCCGAGCUGGGACUUGCGUCUAGAGCUGUCGGGUUCCGAGACAGUGGGGUUCUCCAGUUAGGAGCAGGGCAUCUUGGGGAGGGGGUUAGAGGCAAAUUCUCUGAUUCCACGUGUUGUGAGGAAAGAGCACUGGCCUGGAAUCAGCCCCUGGGCUGCUCUCCCAGCGCCGCUCUUGCCUGGAGGUGGGACCCGGAGCACGUCACUUCCCUGGCUGGGGCCUCAGUCUCCUGACUUGUACAGCAGGACGGCUUAAACCACCCCUGAGGUCUUGUCUUGUCUUUCUUCCUGGCUGGCUUUCUUUCUUUCCCCAUUCUUUUUGGAUGACGGUGUCAGGAAGUUUCCUGCAGAAGAGGUUUCCUCCUUCCCAGGAUCCUAAGACCUGUGUGGAAAGACUCCUGUGUUCCAGCCUGAGCAGGUGUUCGAGUCAUUCUGCUGUUGACUAAAACAUGGCUCCCUAGACCCGGAGUAAAUGAUUCCUGAUUUCCUGGAGUUCUCUUGCGGCGCCGCUGAUUAAGGAUUCAGCAUUGUCACUGCAGCAGCUCUGGUCACUGCUGGGACACAGGUUUGAGCCCUGGCCCAGGAACUUCCACAUACCGCAGGUGCAGCCAAAACCAAGAAACCAAAAAACUUGGAAGGAUUCCUGAUUUCCUAAGGCUUAGAGUCAGCACAGCUCAGGACUGCAGAAGUCACAGGACCUGACGCCAGCAUUUAUCCGUCACUGCUGCGCUCAGCUGCGUGCUGGGCAGUGAGGAAGACGCAGAAAUGAUGGGGCAUCACCUGCUGCCAAAGAGGAGAUGCUCUCCGCCAUCUACAGAGAAUCCUGUUGUGCUGGAGCCAGAAGGGCCGGCUUCGUGGGAGAGCUGGAAACGGACCUGGAACCUCAAGCUCCCCCCAGGCCCGCAGGAGGAAGCCUCAGCUGGGAGCCAGCCCAACACCUCUGACACCGGCCGCCCUGCCUUUGGGCGAAGAGGGAGCCGGCCUCGGGCGCGGAGGCUUCCGCAGGCGCCGGUGUCCAGCUGGGAUUUGCUCACACGUCCUUGCACUGGUGUUUAUGGCAGCCCUCCGUUGACGGCUGAACCUUCCCCACUUUGCUGUCAACCUGGAUUCUGCUGCUACAGCCCUGGGAUGUUCAGGCAAGUCAGUUUGCUUCUCUGAACUUUGUUUUCUCGUCUGUAAAAUGGAGCUAAUAAUAGAACCUCCAUCAGGGGCUGUUGUAAGGAUGAAAAGAGUCCUCAGAAAAGUGGCUGCCACAUACUCCGAAGCUCAGGACACAUCAGCUUUGUUUUCGAUUCCAAGAAUCUGAAAGCACGGGAAAUCAUUCUGAGGGGAAAAUGUGAUUUACAGUCUCUAGGAAAGAAAAUAUACACAAUAAUGAGACAGGUUCCAAGAGACAUGUGUUGUCAUCUGUGAGUGGAGCUUUUCCUGCCUACACAGUCUCGGUAACUUCCUUAAAGAUACGUGCUCUCUUUGUAACCCUUAAGCUCCCACACGUUGGAGGCUUUCUUUUCCUUUCUCUUCUUCUUCUUCUUCUUCUUUUUUUUUUUUUUUGCCACACCCAAGACAUGCAGAAGUUCCCCAGGGCCCAGGGAUUGAACCACAGCGGUGACCACACGGAGUUCUUAACUGCUAGGCUGCCAGGGAACUCCCAGAGGCUUUCUUAAGUCAAGCGUGAGUGACUUCUGCUUCUCUUCCAUGCGCAAGAGAUUCCUUAAAAUCUAACACCUUUAGCCCCAUUAAAAAAAAAAAAAAA
This 5050-nucleotide long non-coding RNA is filed under the name Sus scrofa (pig). RNAcentral describes it as "lncRNA (ENSSSCG00040013341.1)". Lineage: Eukaryota; Metazoa; Chordata; Mammalia; Artiodactyla; Suidae. The record is from RNAcentral.